This 497-nucleotide ribosomal RNA is filed under the name uncultured bacterium. RNAcentral's name for it is "partial 16S ribosomal RNA". It matches the Rfam family "Bacterial small subunit ribosomal RNA", at positions 28 to 507 of the family's 1533-position model. The record is from RNAcentral.
GAUGAACGCUGGCGGCGUGCCUAAUACAUGCAAGUCGAGCGAACAGAUGAGGAGCUUGCUCCUCUGACGUUAGCGGCGGACGGGUGAGUAACACGUGGAUAACCUACCUAUAAGACUGGGAUAACUACGGGAAACCGGAGCUAAUACCGGAUAAUAUAUUGAACCGCAUGGUUCAAUAGUGAAAGACGGUUUUGCUGUCACUUAUAGAUGGAUCCGCGCCGAAUUAGCUAGUUGGUAAGGUAACGGCUUACCAAGGCAACGAUGCGUAGCCGACCUGAGAGGGUGAUCGGCCACACUGGAACUGAGACACGGUCCAGACUCCUACGGGAGGCAGCAGUAGGGAAUCUUCCGCAAUGGGCGAAAGCCUGACGGAGCAACGCCGCGUGAGUGAUGAAGGUCUUCGGAUCGUAAAACUCUGUUAUUAGGGAAGAACAAAUGUGUAAGUAACUAUGCACGUCUUGACGGUACCUAAUCAGAAAGCCACGGCUAACUACGUG